Pelobates cultripes (western spadefoot toad) is the source of this 925-nucleotide non-coding RNA. The record is from the annotation of a GenBank genome assembly. Lineage: Eukaryota; Metazoa; Chordata; Amphibia; Anura; Pelobatidae.
AACUGGUUCUGGUGGCAUUAUGCAUAUAGUAAAUGGAUACACACAUGUAUUUAUAAUCAAAUAAGGUAUUAUAUUCUAUAUCUUGUUGGCAGUCAAUAUGUCAUUCUCUAAUUGCUGUAGACCAAAUGCCAUCUAUCCCAUUUAUAUAUGAGGACUGGCUGAUUACCCCAUAUUUGCAAGGUUACUGGUAAAUCUAAUUUACGUCCUAAUAGCUUUAUCUCUACAACUGGUUACGCUAUGGAUCUCAUGAUAUUCUGAAUACAAAAAUAGAUCAGUCAUUACAAUAUUCAAUAUUUUAUAUUGUUCACUAUUACCCACACCUAUGGCACUAUGGAUACAAUAAUAAUUGUCAUGCCAAAGCAUGAGUUGGCAUUUGAUAUAUGUUAUGAGUUGUUUUCGUACAUGUUGGGAUAACAUUUAUUGUAGGCUUUGAUCAAACGCCAGGCCUAAGCCAUGAAAUGUAACGACUAGAUAACCAUCACCAGAGCUGGACAUAGGGUGUCAUAAAACGUAUUGGUGCAUAUGCUAUGACUUUGGUUUAUUCAAAGAACAUAAUUUAAGAAAAUAUGGAGUGGACAAUAAACUGCCAGGCCAAACCCCUCUGAUCCACCCAGGGGUCUGGUCACUCAGAAACAGCUAGUUUGAGCUACAUAAUGAGCAUAUUGGAUUAUCCAGUGAGAGAUUUUCUUUUUUCAACAACUACUUGGAGACCUGUAACAGUUGAAUCUCCCACAAGAAUUAUAUAUAAGGGGUAAAUAUAUGUAAGGAUUUCUUGUGUUUCCUCCAAUUUUUAUUUAUGGACUGUUUUGCAAUUUGUUAUCUAUGUUUCUGUAUGUCAUUUAUUUGUGUAUUUUUGUACACAGUACUGUGAAUCCUUCUUGUCAGAUUAAAUGUUUAGUUAAUCAGCCAAUAGCCCAUGUUCAUG